AUGCAAGUCGAGCGGGGAGAUGUAGCUUGCUACAUAUCCUAGCGGCGGACGGGUGAGUAAUGCUUAGGAAUCUGCCUAUUAGUGGGGGACAACGUUCCGAAAGGAACGCUAAUACCGCAUACGCCCUACGGGGGAAAGCAGGGGAUCUUCGGACCUUGCGCUAAUAGAUGAGCCUAAGUCGGAUUAGCUAGUUGGUGGGGUAAAGGCCUACCAAGGCGACGAUCUGUAGCGGGUCUGAGAGGAUGAUCCGCCACACUGGGACUGAGACACGGCCCAGACUCCUACGGGAGGCAGCAGUGGGGAACAUUGGACAAUGGGCGGAAGCCUGAUCCAGCCAUGCCGCGUGUGUGAAGAAGGCCUUUUGGUUGUAAAGCACUUUAAGCGAGGAGGAGGCUCCUUUAGUUAAUACCUAAAGAGAGUGGACGUUACUCGCAGAAUAAGCACCGGCUAACUCUGUGCCAGCAGCCGCGGUAAUACAGAGGGUGCGAGCGUUAAUCGGAUUUACUGGGCGUAAAGCGUGCGUAGGCGGCUUUUUAAGUCGGAUGUGAAAUCCCUGAGCUUAACUUAGGAAUUGCAUUCGAUACUGGAAAGCUAGAGUAUGGGAGAGGAUGGUAGAAU
This 618-nucleotide ribosomal RNA is filed under the name uncultured bacterium. RNAcentral's name for it is "bacterial SSU rRNA". It matches the Rfam family "Bacterial small subunit ribosomal RNA", at positions 55 to 667 of the family's 1533-position model. The record is from RNAcentral.